This 105-nucleotide microRNA precursor is filed under the name Canis lupus familiaris (dog). RNAcentral's name for it is "mir-8834 microRNA precursor family". It matches the Rfam family "mir-8834 microRNA precursor family". Lineage: Eukaryota; Metazoa; Chordata; Mammalia; Carnivora; Canidae. The record is from Rfam by way of RNAcentral.
AGGAGGAACAACCCCAGUGGCGGGGCCAGCUCUGGAGCCCUGGAGUCAGUCCCCACAGUAGCUCCAGAGCUCUCCGUCUGCAGGGCCUGGAGGCUCCGGGGUAGG